AAGUCGUAACAAGGUAACCGUAGGUGAACCUGCGGUUGGAUCAUUAAGAAAUUAUUGGUUUCAUACACACAUGUGGUAUCUAAAGUGUUUUUGCGGUGGUUCCUCACGGGGAACGCCGCAACCUCUUAUAUAAACAUUGUUGAACAUUGGAGAAACAUUUAUACAAAAUAUAAAAAACUUUUGACAACGGAUCUCUUGGCUCUC
Molecule: unclassified non-coding RNA, 204 nt
Filed under: fungal sp.
Lineage: Eukaryota; Fungi
Description: partial internal transcribed spacer region
Rfam family: Eukaryotic small subunit ribosomal RNA (bases 1-46)
Source: RNAcentral